This 46-nucleotide non-coding RNA is filed under the name Schistosoma mattheei. The record is from RNAcentral. Lineage: Eukaryota; Metazoa; Platyhelminthes; Trematoda; Strigeidida; Schistosomatidae.
ACACGGAUGAUGAGUCCGACAAUAGGACGAAACGGCCGUCCAGUGU